Solanum tuberosum (potato) is the source of this 2768-nucleotide RNA transcript. RefSeq lists it as uncharacterized. The record is from RefSeq and is a predicted model, not a curated record. NCBI's taxonomy places the organism in Eukaryota, Viridiplantae, Streptophyta, Magnoliopsida, Solanales, Solanaceae. The transcript is spliced from 4 exons.
GACCAAUGGCAAAAUAGAUAUUAAACCAAUCUUACAAGGGCAAAAUUGUAACUAUAAAAAUAUAUUAACAAUCCUAGAGACUUUUUGGUAUAUGUUCCUCCAGAAGAAUCUUCAUCUUUCCACUCUCACUCUCCGCCAGCAACUUUCCUAAAAUAAUCUGAAAGUAUUACCGAUAAAAAUCGUCUCCUUUCUCUCCUAAUAUUGAUUUCAAUCCCUCUCCGGAGAUUCCUUCAUGGAGGAUCAUUUGAACAAGUUACUAAUGAAUGAUUCAUUUUUCUGGAUUUUAUGAAGCAAAAUUCAAUUUAUAACUGGAGCAAAAUUCUUGUAACUUUCUUAGUUAGAUAGUAAGACUCUAGGUAGUUUCGAAAAUAUUGAAUUCAUCAAAAAAUAAAAAUAAAAUUGAAACUCUAUUUUUCUCCUAUCUUGUUUUUUCUUUCAAUUCUAUGUUUGUUUAUAUUUAUUGGGUAAGGCUUUUUGCACUUCAACUAUAGUAAAUAGUUAGUUUGAUCAAGGUAGAAGAGUAUGUAAAUUGAUUGAAUACUACAUGUCGGAGAAACUGCAACUGGGUAAGUAUUAUUUUUUUCUCGGUUGUCUAUUGCUACUUCAGAAAUUUUUUGUCCUUCUCCCUCUCCCCUUCGCUGCAUCAAAGCAUUGUGUUUGUGAUUUCUUUCCUAUUCUGUUUUUUCUUAAUUUCUUCUGCAAUUAUUUGUCUGCUUCGAUUAUUUUACCUUAUUAUUUUGAUGGGUUACAUUUGAAAUUUUUUACCCUUUUAUUGGUGUAUUGACUAUUGAUAAAUGUUGUAUUUGCAGAGUUACCUUCACCCACCUUUUAUUUAUGAUUGUGUUGUCUGUUAAAACUUAGAUGAAAAUUUUCAUGUCCUCUAUCUUGCUAGCUCUCGUGGAUUCGGCUAUGUCACCGUUGCUACAGUUGAGGAUGCUAAGAAACGCCAUCAAAAGAACGAUCAAGGGUAAAUUCGUCAUUUUGCUCAAAGACAAAAGAAAGAAUCAGCUUUUUCUUGGCCUUUCUAGAACACUCGGUCGUUUCAUUUCUUUGUUCCAACAAUGGAGAAUUUCUAGAAGACUCCUCCCAAGUGUCCAUAAUUUUCUUUCAUCCAAACUUAAAUUCAAAGGCCUACUCAUUAGCUUCGUCUUCGUAUCUGAACGUGCAUUCUUAGGACUUUUUCAAUAGGAAAGCACCAUUUCUCAAGGCAAUAUGUUGAGCAUCUUUCGAAGAAACUGCGGUCAGCCAUACAUCAAAUGCAGUUGGUAGAACCCGUUCGACGAUUCAUUUCAAAGUAACUCGGUAAGAAAUUCUUCUCAUCCUUUCGCAACUCUCUAUGAGUUUAGUUGAACAAAUUUUUUUAAAAGUUAAACAAGGAACUGAUAGUAUUCCUACUCUUUUCUGAACCACCACGAAGCCAAAAAAAAUUAAAAGCUAAGCCUAUAUAUGUCAUGUACAAGCAUGUAGUGGUAGAAACUAAAAGAGUUAAUGUUGCCGAACUUCUUCUUUUUUUAAAUUUUUUUUACCCUCAACUCUAUGGGCCUGAUUUCUAUAAUUAAAAUGGUAAAUGGAGAAGAUUGUUGCUUGAAAGUUGUUACUGAAUGAAUUUACUACUACUGAAUACCCCAGAUGCCUAAAUCAAGUAUGUUGCAUCUUACAUUUCUAUUUUUUUUUUUUUUUUCUUUAUACAUGCAAGAUAUUUUCUACUUUGGCUAUGUCAUGGUACAAGUUCUAACACUCAUUGUGUCGUGAAUGUGUAUACUAAGAGAAUCACUAAUUAUUCCACCUCCUUUCACCUUUGGAGUUGGUGGAAGGUGUUGAGUUCAAACAUCAAAAGGUACAUAUAUAUUUAACAUUCGAAGUUUUAAAUGUAAGAGAGUGACUUUGAUGAGAUUAUAUAUUAGAUGUCGACAAAUGUAUUUUAGGAUGGAUAAGAUGGUUAAUAUAUAUUGUUAGUCAUUUGACAAGCUAUUCUCUAUAGACGACUUACAUUAUUGUUUUAGGAUGAGAGUUGAGAUGUAACAUUAUCAGUUUCAAGAAAAAAAAUGAUAGUUGAGAUGUUCUUACUCCUCCUCGAGAUGUUACACUUAUAAGACUAAAGAGGCAAAUAUGAAUUCCUUUUCUUUCUUUCUAAAUCAAUGUGCUGCAUCAAUUUUUUAUUCCUCAGCAUAAAGUGCUUAAGUACCAUUAUGCUUUUCUAAAUGGUAUGAGUUUCGUUAUGCUAUUAUUUUUGGCACGUACAGAUCUUCCUUAAUCAAGAUUCAUUAUGUCGGGUCCGUGCUUACAAUAUGCUUCUCCUUUGCAUCACCCCCAAAUAACAUUUUCUAGGAGCAUCUAUAAGUGAGCUCCUAGAAAUAUAAAAUAUUGGGCCAUCAGAGUAAUCAGAUACACAAUUUGAACUAAAAGUACAAACAAUAUUUCUCAACAGAUGUAUUGUGCAUUUCUUCUUAACUCUUGAGUCGCAAACUUAGCUUAGCACUUUUUAUAUGUCAAAUGAUAAUUUGUAUAUGUGCAGGAGAAAAAAUCAUGUCUGAUGGUUCUAAGAAUCGACUGAACAAUGUUAAACCUUAACAAAGAAUAAGAUUAACAUUUAUACUUAUAUCAUCACUUUUUUCAUUUCAACUUUUUUAUAUUUUGUUCUUUUAAUUAGAUUUUACAGUUGUGUUUGUUUCUUUAAGGGUAUUUUCAUGAAUUUAAGGUUGUACAAUAGAGAUCAAUGGUAACUUGGAGCAGGUUUAUCUCUAUUGAAUGAAUUUUAUGAUUAUUCA